AUUUGGAGAAUGUGAGUUAUGUCCAUACACAUUACAAAUUAUGAAAAUAGCAGUCAAGUUUAACAGUUACUAUGACCCAUCUCCCAUCUUGUGAAGAUGUGGAUUCUCGAACGUCACCUUUAAACUUGUGAAUAAGUGUCAAAACACCAGCAGAAUGACUUGAUCCAUGACUGAAAUAGGCCAUAUCUCCCCAUUGUGAUUUCCAAAAUUUCAAAUCACUUUCACCCGAAUGAGAUUCCUGAAGAAGGACAAAAUCUGCGUUACUGCGUUUACAAUAUAAAAAUAAAGCUUUCCUUUUUGUAAGAUCUCUCAAAUCCCUAGCAUUCAGACUAACGAUAUUGAGUGAGUUGAAAACGAACUCCUGCGUUAAAAAAGAAAGAACACAAACUAGAUAACAGAAGUAGUAAUGUGAACAAUAAAACAAACAGUGAACCUUCAGAGGAUUACUCUGACGGAAAACUACGCUCAGCUGAGGUAGCGGUGGUUAACAGUAUAACAAAUCUAUUUACUUCCUUUUUUUUCCAGUUGGCAAGUGUUCAUCAGUUGUAGUUCGAACGGUACAUUUACUUGUGUCGGUAAAUUAACUGGACUCUUGGCAGUACUCACAGUUCCAGUUUGGUUAAUGUCAACAGAGUUACCCAGUAAUCAUUCUUCCUUCGAUAAACGUGUGUGGGCCCUUGUACCCAGCCUUCUUUCCCUCUUGUCGUGCCUUCUGUAUAAGAGGCCACAGUUUCUCCCUGGCAGUCUGAUCCUGCGGUAUCAGAGCUGCUUUGAUGCGGAGCUACUUCUCGUCCAGAAACGUGUUCCCUUUGGCCAUUCUCCAGAUGAUGUCCCUGUAAUGGCGCAGAGUUAAGCGCAAUAUGAUAUUGCGAGGGGGUCCAUCAGAUCUUCGUUUCCCAAGUCGAUGUACCACAAUCACAUCUCUUAGCCUGUAUUUGAUGCACGAAGCCACCUUUCCCAGGAUAUGAAUGACCGCUUCCCUAAUAUCCUCUCCCUCUACCUCUUUUACACCUUGGAUUUUCAGAUUCCACCUGCGACAGUACCUUUGACGUUCAGCUACAUUCUCACACAGCUCAUUAUUUUGGGAUUGCAGUUUCUUCAACUCAUUCUCUAGGAACGUUAUCUUUUCCAAAUUAUCGAUCAGAUUUGAAGUUUCUUCGGUAGCCCGCUCUAUGGUGGACACUUUGGAGAGCGUGGCGUCUAUUUUAGUAGACAGGGACUGGAUUGCAGAGAAAAGUUCAGACAUGGAAAUGGCCUCUUACUUUUUUCACCGGUGGAUUUUUAAUUGGGGUCUGGGGUAAAGAGGUUGCAAGGAUUUCAUCCUGGUCAGUUUUGUUCUUUCUCUUGCUUGAGGUCGAGGCUUAUUGAGUAUCCAUGCUGAUCUGGUUCUCGUUGUGGCUAGCUAGCAUGUCUGCCGUCUUCUGUGAGACUUGGAUAUUCCGUCUACUAUUGUCUUUCUGUCGUGUUCUUCCCAUUCAACUUUACAAAAACGAACUCUAAACUUAUCCUAUGUUGCUAAAACAAGUUAUGGUUAGUUUAUUUCAAAAUUGAUAGCCAAUAUUAGACUGUUAACCACCUAACCCUCAAUGUUGCUUAGACGAGCGAGAAAACACUCCCUCUCACAGCGACCCCAUCUUGGCUCCCCUGAGAUGGUGAUGUGAGUACUUCAGGUGAUGCUUCUUGCGUGACGUGUAAUCUAAUGGACGGGAGGUUUCUUCAACAACGACAACAGAUUCAACUACGCGGUAGCUUGCAAUCGAAAAUAAAACCGAAACAUUGAAGCGUUUAAGACCAGCCUUGUGUAUAUUACUCUUUGUGUUUUGAACAUAAUUUUGUUUACCUAUCAUCUAGUUAAUUUAAACGUAAUUUGUUUGUUAAAUUAGCAUAUGUGUUACAUUGAUACUGCACUAGGCCAAUCGCCUGGAACAUGAGCUCACUAAACUCGACGGAGAAAUAAACUCUGGUGAAAGGAGAGGAAGAAGCUUUCAGAAUGAAAAAGGAGGAAGAGGAGGCUAUCACAUUAAAAGAAGAAGAGGAUGAUAUUACAGUGAAAGAGAAAGAUGGGAAAGAGGUUGUCAGAGUGGAAAAGGAGGAGGUAGAAGCUUUCAGAAUCAAAAAGGAGGAAGAUGCGGUAACAUUGAAAGAAGAGGAAGAACCUUUUGGAGUAAAAGAGGAAGAGGAGGUUAUCUCAAUAAAAGAGGAGGAAGACGUUUUGGAAGUGAAAAAGGAGGAGGAGGCUGAAGAUCGGAUUACCACCAGAGAGAGACAUGACUAUUGUGGAUCUUCUGGGGAGCAUCAACAACAUCCUGAUGCUGACUAGACAGAGAAGUGUCUCUCCAGAUCAGAACACCAGAUUGUACAGCUUGGUCCGGUCUAGCAUACAGCUUGCUCUAUCGGGGGCUGGGCUGCGUUUCUGUAAAGCACUUUAUGUCAACUGUGACAUCUGCAUCCAUAAUGAUUUGUGUCUUUGUCCCCUCUUUAUCGUUACCAGGACAACGCUAGCCCUUCUGCCCUCCCAGAGUCCUCGUGUCGUGCCUCUCGCGGUAGCACCUUAAUGCUGGGUAUGAAGAGGUUGUCUGUGCUGCUGGUGGACUGCAGGAAAACAACGGGGCUGAGUGGAACUGUGAGAGGAGGAGAAGAGAAGAAAGGAUCAGAUUUAACUCAUCAAACGAUGCUCCCCAUCCAACCUGUUCAUCAUGCUUCCAUUGAUUAUCCUGUGUAGCGAUGCUCCCCAUCCAACCUGUUCAUCAUGCUUCCAUUGAUUAUCCUGUGUAGCGAUGCUCCCCAUCCAACCUGUUCAUCAUGCUUCCAUUGAUUAUCCUGUGUGGCGACGCUCCCCAUCCAACCUGUUCAUCAUGCUUCCAUUGCUUAUCCUGUGUAGCGACGCUCCCCAUCCAACCUGUUCAUCAUGCUUCCAUUGAUUAUCCUGUGUAGCGACGCUCCCCAUCCAACCUGACAGCUUGAGGGGAUCUGCAGAGAAGAAUGGGAGAAACUCCGCAAAUACCCAAGACGACUAGGCUGUAAUCGCUGCUAAAGGUGAUUCAGCAAAGUACUGAGUAAAGGGUCUGAAUACUUAUGUAAAUGUGAUAUUUCAGUUUGUUAUUUUUAGUAAAUUAGCAAAAAUGUCUUAUGUUUUUGCUUUGUCAUUAUGGGGUCCUGUGUGUAGACUGAUGAGGGGGAAAAAAUGAUUUAAUCAAUUUUAGAAUAAGGCUGU
Molecule: long non-coding RNA, 3214 nt
Filed under: Salmo salar (Atlantic salmon)
Lineage: Eukaryota; Metazoa; Chordata; Actinopteri; Salmoniformes; Salmonidae
Description: lncRNA (ENSSSAG00000085947.1)
Source: RNAcentral